Molecule: long non-coding RNA, 2045 nt
Filed under: Daphnia pulex (common water flea)
Lineage: Eukaryota; Metazoa; Arthropoda; Branchiopoda; Diplostraca; Daphniidae
Description: uncharacterized LOC124202143
Source: RNAcentral
UUGUCUGUGCUCUCUGAUGAUUUCUUUGCUGUUUUUACCCCAAAAAUUCAGUGCUAAAAAAAUAUUUUGUGCUGUGUCAGAGUCAAGAUCACCCCAGCACCAAUGUCACAAAGGCAAGUUUUUUCUAGUACAGUGUGACUGUUGAAGUCACCUUUGCUCUGGAAGAAUCCAGCGACAAAACAAGUACUUAAUGUAGUGUUCAAACUCACCCAACAUUCAGUGACAGAAACACUUUUUGUGAAACAAAACAAACAAACUGCUAGACAAAAUGUUUGUCUGAAAUCAUAAGAAUUCCUAUUUCUGGUCUACAUUGGCAUAGAUUGCAGUUACAGGUUCAACAGCAAAGAAAGUUGAGAUUUUGAAAUCCUCAUUCAACAUGUUCGACAGCUAGUUUCUUACAAUGUGAACUGCAAGAUUACUGAGUAAGACCAAACUCUAGAAUCUCCAGGUCACGACUGACAUCGAAGAGAAUGCUGAUUAUUCAUUGCAAAACACAUCUUUGCCAAUAAAACGGACAUUCGGGGGAAAAAUUGGCUUUGGUGAUGAAACUCUUGCGGUCUUGCCAUGGAAGAAUGUGCAGCACUGCAGAAUGCUGCAGUUGUAACCAAAUUGGAAUUUGAAAAGCCGCCUUGUCACGAGCUCAAGUAAAUGAGGCAGAUGACUCCCGGUUGACAGACCAGCAUGAGGUGCAUAAAAUAAUUCAAAAUUUGCGGGAAUUCUCGAAGAACUAGCUAGUAUUCACUGGGUGUUUUGGUGACAGUUGUCUUUACUACUGUUUCGUCGACGAAGUUGUUCGCGGUGGCCCAGGCAACCAGCAUAAAAUUUAGCUUUCGUUUAAUAAGCUUGUGCCAGUGGUUUGCGAACGCGAUUGGAAAGCAAUCAAUUCUUGAUUGAAUUAAUAAAAUGAAAGGUAAACUAUUUGCAGAAAAAUAUUGAAAAUUUAUUUUAAAUUUAUAGUGUUUGCUAUCAUAACUAAUGAAGAACUUAAUUACCUGGAAGGUAGUCGAUGAGGUAAGCGACGCCAGCUACGAUUCGUCUUCGUCGUUAACAGAAGGUGCGUGAGGUAUUUUCAAGCACAAAAUCAGCAAUGGUGUCUUCUUGAUCCUGUCGCUAAAAACAAAAACGAAAACGUACAGGAAAUGAAAGAAGUAUGACAACUUAACAAUGAAAGACGCUUAUUUUCUAGAUUGGUUUAUGCUUCGUUUGAAAAUAUUCCCAUUGUCGAAAAUGAGUUGUAUCGUAAGACCUUUUUCUGCGAGUGGGAACAGGGCUGCUGAUGUGGCUGUUGCUCUUGAAUAACUGGUAAGCGCUGCCUCUUUCGUCAAGGCGGGCGUGAACGAUGCUGACAUUUUGGGCAGUGCUGCGGGCCGGAUGCCUAUAACUGGAAACUUUUUGGAGGCUGUGGUGUCUCGUUUAUCCCUCGCGUCAUUGGCAUCUUCAGAUACCCUGAGUUCUUAAAGGAAAUUAAUGCAGGAAGUUACUUCCGUUGAAGUAUGAUCUAUUGAAAUGAAUCCGGCUCUGUUGAGAUUGUUGGAUUUCGUGGAUGACCCGAUGUCGACAAUCCUCCCUAUCUAUCCAAUGCCACUUUGGAACCAAGUCGUUGGUAUCUUUGUAGCUGCGGCUGGCUACCUUAAAUUGCGUUGGCAACUGUGGACGUCUCAUGGCAGCAUCUAUUUGCGGACAACAUAAAUAAAGGCUGUAAUUCUUAGCUCCAACGCAAGGAGAAUCGAAGAGGAGUCCUGUCCCAAUAAGAAGUUUGCGGAAAAGAGAACUCCUUGUUUCUUGUAGCUUUUAGCACUAGUUAACACUGAGACUUUUAAAAAAUGACCACGAAACGCCCCUCGGUUAGCAACUUUCCCCUGCUGUUAAAUUUAGAGUUGCCAGUUUGUCCAGUUUGUAUGUCCUUCACGCUUGAAGGUCGCGGAGAACAUUCCGUAAAACUGUCAAUGCGGUGGUGUAGAGGCUGGGUGAGAACUGGACGUGUUGCAGCAUCAUUAUCAAGCAGACCCAUCCCCAGCAACGUCAACCAAAAGAAGGAAAGGUCG